GACGAACGCUGGCGGCGUGCUUAACACAUGCAAGUCGAACGGAAAGGCCCUGCUUUUGUGGGGUGCUCGAGUGGCGAACGGGUGAGUAACACGUGAGUAACCUGCCCUUGACUUUGGGAUAACUUCAGGAAACUGGGGCUAAUACCGGAUAGGAGCUCCUGCUGCAUGGUGGGGGUUGGAAAGUUUCGGCGGUUGGGGAUGGACUCGCGGCUUAUCAGCUUGUUGGUGGGGUAGUGGCUUACCAAGGCUUUGACGGGUAGCCGGCCUGAGAGGGUGACCGGCCACAUUGGGACUGAGAUACGGCCCAGACUCCUACGGGAGGCAGCAGUGGGGAAUAUUGCACAAUGGGCGGAAGCCUGAUGCAGCGACGCCGCGUGCGGGAUGACGGCCUUCGGGUUGUAAACCUCUUUCGCCUGUGACGAAGCGUGAGUGACGGUAAUGGGUAAAGAAGCACCGGCUAACUACGUG
RNAcentral lists this ribosomal RNA (468 nucleotides) under uncultured bacterium. RNAcentral describes it as "partial 16S ribosomal RNA". It matches the Rfam family "Bacterial small subunit ribosomal RNA", at positions 28 to 507 of the family's 1533-position model. The record is from RNAcentral.